This 93-nucleotide ribosomal RNA is filed under the name Vibrio harveyi. Lineage: Bacteria; Pseudomonadati; Pseudomonadota; Gammaproteobacteria; Vibrionales; Vibrionaceae. The record is from RNAcentral. RNAcentral also lists the same sequence under 1 other name.
CCACCUGAUUUCCAUUCCGAACUCAGAAGUGAAACGAAUUAGCGCCGAUGGUAGUGUGGGGCUUCCCCAUGUGAGAGUAGGACAUCGCCAGGC